GUGAGGAAUUUUCCGCAAUGGGCGAAAGCCUGACGGAGCAAUGCCGCGUGAAGGAUGAAGGCCUAUGGGUUGUAAACUUCUUUUCUCAGAAAAGAAUUAUGACGGUAUCUGAGGAAUAAGCAUCGGCUAACUCUGUGCCAGCAGCCGCGGUAAGACAGAGGAUGCAAGCGUUAUACGUAAUGAUUGGGCGUAAAGCGUCUGUGGGUUGUUUAAAAAGUAUUCUGUCAAAGAUUAGGGCUUAACCCUAGAUAGGCAGAAUAAACUUUUAAGCUAGAGUUUGGUAGAGGCAGAGGGAAUUCCCGGUGGAGCGGUGAAAUGCGUAGAUAUCGGGAGGAACACCAAAGGCGAAGGCACUCUGCUGGGCCAAUACUAACACUGAGAGACGAAAGCGAGGGGAGCAAAUGGGAUUAGAAACCCGAGUAGUCC
This 426-nucleotide ribosomal RNA is filed under the name uncultured bacterium. Its description in RNAcentral is "bacterial SSU rRNA". It matches the Rfam family "Bacterial small subunit ribosomal RNA", at positions 354 to 796 of the family's 1533-position model. The record is from RNAcentral.